Long non-coding RNA from Lycium barbarum (goji berry), 5907 nucleotides. RefSeq lists it as uncharacterized. The record is from RefSeq and is a predicted model, not a curated record. The transcript is spliced from 3 exons. NCBI's taxonomy places the organism in Eukaryota, Viridiplantae, Streptophyta, Magnoliopsida, Solanales, Solanaceae.
CUAUGUGGCAUUUUAGGGAAGUCUUCUUUUGGAAGUUUAUCUUUAAGAGUGGGACCCACGGUCCACUAAAAGAAUGUAAACAUUUCCUAUAUCACUAAAGUGAAUAUAUUUGUGGGCAGCAACCAUUCUUAACUUUGGAAAAGAAUUCACCUGAAGGAUCCAAAUGAACACCAUUUCAUUUCACGUUGGGAUUCAAUUUGGAAGCAAAAAAAAAAAAGGGUACAACGACGUUUUUCUUUGAAGAUUCAUUAUGAAGAGCCAAACAAACAUUCAACAACCAUUUGAUUUAACCAUGGGAAACAAUUCAUUUGAUGGAAGCAAAGGCAGCAACCUCACGUCCCAUUUCAAUUAAGUUAUUGUAGUCUUUUGGUUGCAGUAAGCUCAUAAUAGAACGAACUGGGUACAGUUGUUCAAGACUAAGGUGGAAGAAGAUUCAAGAAAUAAGAGAAGGAGAAAAACAAAAGAAGAAAAAGAUUUUGGAGGAAACGGGAAUUGAGUUUGGAGAGGCGUAAGGAGUGAAUAAGGUAUGUAAAGCUUUACCUUUCCUUCUCUUGGCAUGUCUUAGACAUAAUAGGUUUGGAUACGAGCCUCGGGGACGACUCUACUCUUAAGAAUUCGCGCCUAAAUUUGCCCCUUUUUUCAUUCAGUAGAAUUGAAUUAAAUAUUUUAUGAAUAGUUGGAAGUAUUGCCUAAACAUCUAGAACUUGCAUAAAUAGGACCCGACUACCUUAAAACUCUCACAAGUGACGUCAUGAAAUGUAACGUACGUAAAUUGUGUACGCUACCUCAUUUGACCCGAGGCGGGCCCACUUUCCCCGAUUCCUCUCCUAUUGUGUAUUGACUUAUUUUCGAACGAUUUUAAAGGAAACAUUUUAACUACUCGUCUAACUACUAAAUGACAAUUGUUGUAAAUAUUCCGCUGAGUCUUAUAAACUGUUUUGGAACAUGGAAACGAUCCCAGAAAAAUUAUUUUUACGUAAUCUAUUGUGACAUCCGAACUACACACACUAAGAUUAUCGUCCGAUUUCACUAUUAUGAUUUGUUAUUCGAGAUGUCCCAUCGAGCCUUUGUAAAUGUAUUAUGUUUUAUAUUGCAUUUAGUUUCCCACUACUUCACUCGUGGAUGCCUUAAUGCUUCUUUCACUGAGCCCGGGCCAGGAUAUGUUAUCACGCGUAUUCCUCUGCAUUGUUCGCCGUGCCCCGAUGUGAGGGGGCAGGUAUGACAUGUACAUGGGUUUUGGAGUUAUGCUGUGCCAUGUACGUACAUUCUGAUAUUUGAUGAUAUGACAUGAUAUGGCCAUCUGAUAUGUUAUGAUAUGUUACAGAGCUAUUCCCUUCUCUGGAGUUAUGUUGUGUUGUGGCGCCAGUGAUGGGGUGGCGACUACGUUCUGUUCACUUAGUCCCUUAAUGGGGCCGGAUAUGGCAUAUGAUUUCGCAUACACCAUCUGUGUUUUGCAAAUAUGCAUUUGACAUUUUGGGCAUUACGCUCACUUUCUGUACAUUCAAUUUCGAUUAUGAUUUUAUUACUGUACUUCAGGCUUUACAUAUUAAGUACAUAUUCCGUACUAACCCCCUUUCUUCGGGGGGGGGGGGGGGUGCGUUUCAUGCCACGCAGGUACAGACGCCCGAUUUGCUGACCCGUCCGCUUAGGAUUUUACUCAGUUGUCUUGGAGUGCUCUCUUGUCCGGAGCCUACCUUUUGGUAUAGAGUUUUUAUAUUGUACAUAUAUGUGUUAUUCAGGGGUAUGACGGGGCCCUGUCCCGUCUUAUGUUUCUGCUACUAUUCGUAGAGGUCUAUAGACAUACAUGUGGGUUGUGUAUAUGUUUUGGGUUGAUAUGUUCUGCGAUAGCCUUAUCGGCUUCUCCGUGUUAUAUAUGUUUAUCUGUGGUAAUUAGUAACGUUGUUCGUCGUCUAUAUCUGUAUAUUCUGUUUAUAUGCUAGUUUGGUUGCUGGGUACGUAUGGGUGUCCAGUGCAGACACUAGUCACGGCCUACAGGGUUGGGUCGUGACAAAAGUGGUAUCAGAGCAGUUUGUCCUCGGAAUGUCUACAGGCCGUGUCUAGUAGAGUCUUGUUUAUCGGUGUGUUGUGCACCACAUCUAUAAACAGGAGGCUACAGGACAUUUAGGAUGUUACCUUUCUUUCAUAUCUAAGAUCGUGCGAUAGAGCCCAGCCAUAGGAAAUGAAAUUCCUUAUACUAAUUUUUGAUUUCAGCUGAAGAACGAUAUCGACAGAAGAAAGCGACCGAUGAUAUUGGCAGUUACAAGGUACACAGGUAAGUUACGGUGCGAAAGAGCCAUGUCGGAUAAAGUAAGAAUAUUGGAAUAUGAUUGAAAUGUAAAGUUGAAGGAUGAAAAAGAAGGUGGAUAGGAAGGUAUAACAGGACAGAUCGUUAAAGGAUCAGGUACGCCUCGAGGUGUAAUAUGUGAGGUAAGUCCCGAUACCCUUAUACUUUUUUUGGAAAUUGGGAGCCCUGUGUGGCUAUGAUAUGAUACGAUAUAUGCGUAUAUAUGUUGGCCCUGUGAGGCAUUGUUGGUAUUUCCUGCGUGCAGGUUUUGAGAUAGUAAGAAAUACAGAGGAAACUCUGCCAAAAUUUUCCUAGAAAUUAAUUAAAACUGUGAGAUAAAUAUUAAUUGGACAAAUGCCCUGUAAGUUAUCGACAUGUGACAAUGAGGUCCCAUAAUUUAAGACAGAAAAGUAUGCCGAUGAUGAUUGGAGAUAAUAUUGAUGUGUGCAUUAAGUGGCUAUGGACUAAUGUUACAACACAUGAUUAUGAUAAUGAGUACACGAAGUGUGUUAGAAGUGAUUCAUUAUUUAAGUAAAUUGAGAUCAUGAGAUUAAUUAUGUGUGUAACGGGUUAAAUGGGGAUGAAUAAUUAAUUACCAAAUUAUUAUGGGAGACAAAGUGGAUGAGUGUAAAUCCACGUGGCAUCAUGAUGUUUAUAUCAAUAUAUAAUUAUUGUUAGGUGUUAAUUUAUUUAGUGGACACGUUUGGAAGAGAAUGCUUUGUAACCAUGAAAGUGUCAAUUAUGUGGGCCCAUUUAAAUCUCUACAUAUAUGAUCUUACCAUUUCAUUGUUGAUGGGACCAAUAUGGUCAGAUUUUUCCCACAAAUAAUCCACAAAUUCUCAAAGUGAAGGGACAACAAGGUUGGAAAUUGAUUACUAAAGCAUGCCAUGUUUCCACGUUUUGGUCUUAUCACUGUGGAAUUUUUAUAUUUUAAGUGGAUCCAAGAUGAAUAAGCAUUAUUAGUGAUUAUAUGAACCUUUUUCUUAUCCUUUACAUGGAAAAUUUGCAAAAACAAUCUGUAGCUUCUCACAUUUUUUUUCCGUUAAGAGCUCCAAGAACAAAUUCUAAUGCUAUCAAAGAAUACAAAUCAAAAUCUUCAAGCAAACCAGAGAUCUGUUGGAAAUGAAUUAAGAUUGAAGCAGAAUAAUUCUUGGUAUAUGAGGUAAGAAUUCCCCUUUACUAAAUAUAUUUAAAUUCAUCCAGGUCAUAAUUAAAUUGUGAGACGGGAACUACGAAAUUAAUUAUGGGGGUGAAUGAUUAUGAUUGGAUUAUUAUGGGAGUAGCCAAAUUAUGACCACUUUCCUUGGAAAUUCAAUACUAACUGAUGUCAGGAGGACAGUGGUAUUAAGUUAAGCAAGGAGAGACACGGCAUGAUAGAAGAGUAAUUGCUUCGUCAUGGGGCCACCAUAACCAGUAUACUUAUAUAGGACUUGUUUAACAUUCGCGGACGAAUGUUCUAAAGGGGGGAAGGAUGUAACAUCCUGUAUUUUCGUACGUCGGAAAGCGUGCGAGUUAAAUGAUAUUAGUAACGGACACGAGGUUAUCCCCCAAGCUUAUAGGUGGUUAAAUUGAUGGUACACAUGUACCGUAAGGAUUUGAAGUUAAACAAAUCUAAGAAAAUAAGUUUUGUCGAGGAUCGAAAUUUAUUUGAUGAAAUACGGUCCAAGCUAUAAUACCCCCUAUUUUUGGAUUAGGAAAUUGGAAGAUGAAAAUGUGUUAUGAAUAUUUAUGUCGAAGAUUAGAGGUUUCGGAUGAAUUAUGGUUUUGGUGGAAUUUUUGUAUAUUUUGUAAAUAUUUCAUAGAAUGAUAUGAAAUGCUUCCGAAUUGUAUUGGAAUGAUCUUGAUUAGUAAAUGAAUAUGAAAACAUUGAUAUUGGUUUGGAAGUGCGAAGUUAGAUUGGAAGUUGUCGCACUAUGUAGAAAGAAUACUAUUCAUGCUAGAAUGCAUUUUAAUUCGAUUGUUGAUGUUGUUGGUAUUGUUGUUGGUAUGGUUGUUGACAUUUGGAGCCGAGUUAAAUCUCGGGGAUGCUGUAUGUAUAGGGGAGAUGCUGCCCAAAUUUCUGUAGACAAGUAUGAGUUAAGAUUGAAUUCCUAAAGGCUUGUAAUUGAUAUUUGGUAAUUGUGACCAAUUGUAGAUUUUGGAGGAAACAGGAAUUGAGUUUGGAGAGGCGUAAGGAGCGAAUAAGGUAUGUAAAGCUUUACCUUUCCUUCUCUUGGCAUGUCUUAGACAUAAUAGGUUUGGAUACGAGCCUCGGGGACGACUCUACUCUUAAGAAUUCGCGCCUAAAUUUGCCCCUUUUUCAUUCAGUAGAAUUGAAUUAAAUAUUUUAUGAAUAGUUGGAAGUAUUGCCUAAACAUCUAGAACUUGCAUAAAUAGGACCCGACUACCUUAAAACUCUCACAAGUGACGUCAUGAAAUGUAACGUACGUAAAUUGUGUACGCUACCUCAUUUGACCCGAGGCGGGCCCACUUUCCCCGAUUCCUCUCCUAUUGUGUAUUGACUUAUUUUCGAACGAUUUUAAAGGAAACAUUUUAACUACUCGUCUAACUACUAAAUGACAAUUGUUGUAAAUAUUCCGCUGAGUCUUAUAAACUGUUUUGGAACAUGGAAACGAUCCUAGAAAAAUUAUUUUUACGUAAUCUAUUGUGACAUCCGAACUACACACACUAAGAUUAUCGUCCGAUUUCACUAUUAUGAUUUGUUAUUCGAGAUGUCCCAUCGAGCCUUUGUAAAUGUAUUAUGUUUUAUAUUGCAUUUAGUUUCCCACUACUUCACUCGUGGAUGCCUUAAUGCUUCUUUCACUGAGCCCGGGCCAGGAUAUGUUAUCACGCGUAUUCCUCUGCAUUGUUCGCCGUUCCCCGAUGUGAGGGGGAAGGUAUGACAUGUACAUGGGUUUUGGAGUUAUGCUGUGCCAUGUACCUACAUUCUGAUAUUUGAUGAUAUGACAUGAUAUGGCCAUCUGAUAUGUUAUGAUAUGUUACGGAGCUAUUCCCUUCUCUGGAGUUAUGUUGUGUUGUGGCGCCAGUGAUGGGGUGGCGACCACGUUCUGUUCACUUAGUCCCUUAAUGGGGCCGGAUAUGGCAUAUGAUUUCGCAUACACCAUCUAUGUUUUGCAAAUAUGCAUUUGACAUUUUGGGCAUUACGCUCACUUUCUGUACAUUCGAUUUCGAUUAUGAUUUUAUUACUGUACUUCAGGACUUACAUAUUCAGUACAUAUUCCGUACUGACCCCCUUUCUUCCGGGGGGGGGGUGCGUUUCAUGCCACGCAGGUACAGACGCUCGAUUUGCUGACCCGUCCGCUUAGGAUUUUACUCAGCUGUCUUGGAGUGCUCUCUUGUCCGGAGCCUACCUUUUGAGUCUCACGUGGGAUCGACGUCUACCCCUCGUGGCUGAGAGUUCAAGGCUGCUGAUUCGAGUCUGUUGGUGUGAGCAUGUGGACGCUUUGCUACCUGAAGACUCUUUUCUAUUAUGUCUUACUGUGCUAUUCGAAGAGAUUAUUGAGAUUAUUGAUGUAUUAUUAUUACUUCAAGACUUAUAGAUUUUAGUUAGAUGCUCUUGUAUGACCAGACCAGAUACUGGAGUGGUUUUUGAUUUACUUCCACACUUCUUAUAUAUAUUUAUA